AUUCAAUAAUUAAAAAAAGUUUCUUUCUAUAAUUUUUACACUUGAUAAAUUUUGUAAUUACAUCAUAGGAUCAAAAAUAACUAUUUAUUUUGAUCAUGCAGCUAUCAAAUAUCUUGCAAACAAGAAAGAAACCAAACCAAGGAUAUCGAGGUGGAUUCUUCUACUUCAAGAGUUCAAUGUCGCCAUCAAAGAUAAGAAAUGCCUCGAUAAACCCAUAGCCAAUCAUUUUAGUAGGAUCAUCCAAAAGCAAAAGGACAAUCCAGUAUGAAAGGACUUUUUCGAUGAGUACCUUUUCAAGUUAAACAUACCAUGAGUACUUUUUCAAGUUAAACUUGCACAUUCCAUGGUAUGUCGACAUGUUAAAUUACCUUGUAACAGAUUUGGAAUUCCUAAAGCCAUAGUAAGUGACCAAGGAACUCACUUUUGCAACUGGACCAUCAAGACACUAAUGAAGAAAUACAUAGUGCAACAUCGGGUCUCAACUUCGUAUCACCCUCAAACAAAUGAUCGAGCAGAAAUUUCUAAUCGAGAGGAAUAAACUUGGCUCAAAACGCAUAUUUGCAAACAAAUAAGGAUUUCAAAUGCUUUCUACAUGCAAGCUUCCUACCAAGCAAAGAUCAAGAAAUUAACACCGAGGGGAGUAUUAUGUUCUCCUUUCAUUUCUCUUUCACUUUACUUUGCUUUUCAAAAGCUUCGAGGAAAAAGCAAUUUUCUAAGUGGGGAAUGGGUAGCAUGUUUCUUGGUACUUAGCUUGCAUGUAUAAUGGGGUCCUAAAAAAAUUUCAAAAGAUUAGAUUUAUCUUGAUUAGAUAUAGCAUAAAAAUUUGAGCACGGAGCUCGAAUUUGUGAAUUGUGAUAUUCUGGAUAUGUUUGUGAUUCUGAGUAUUUCAAAUUUGUGCACUAAAUAUGUUAAGAAUAAGUUGCUAUCUCCUUUAAGCCCUUUUUUAGCCAUACCAUAUAUCGAAUGUGAAUGUUUGAUUAGGAAAAUGGUAUGUAUGUUGUGAAUGUUUGAUUGCAUGUAUCAUAAGUGCAUGGAUGCUUUUCUAGCCUUGUCUUCUUUGUUGCGUUAUUAGGAAAUACCUAUGAUAUACUUAGUCCAAAUCUAGCCUAAAUAGAGUUAAAAAAGAAUAGAAGCUACUCUUUAAAAGUUGAGACGGUUUUAACACUUUUGUCUUGUCAAACAUGAGUUAGAAACCUCUUCAUAAUGAUCUAGAUUCCUUUAGAAAAGAUUAGGCAUUGAUAAAGCUUAUUAUCACUCUGAAGGGAGUAGUCAAACUUAGAAACUAAGUUUAGAACCAUAGAAAGGUUAGCCCACUAGUUCUAGUAAUGUCUAGUUACCACAUUAUCUACCAGAGAAAUAAAAUGGAGGCUUGCAAAUGCAAAACAAAAAAAAAGUGAGGCAAUCAAAAGCUAAAAAAAACACAAAAAAAAACAAAAAUAUAUGCAAUAUGCAUUCGAAAAAGCUUAA
Molecule: long non-coding RNA, 1467 nt
Organism: Cucumis melo (muskmelon)
Lineage: Eukaryota; Viridiplantae; Streptophyta; Magnoliopsida; Cucurbitales; Cucurbitaceae
Exons: 3
Source: RefSeq, a predicted model, not a curated record